This 113-nucleotide ribosomal RNA is filed under the name Prolemur simus (greater bamboo lemur). The record is from RNAcentral. Lineage: Eukaryota; Metazoa; Chordata; Mammalia; Primates; Lemuridae.
GCCUAUGGCCAUACCACACUGAAUGUGCCUGAUUUUGUCUAAUCUCAGAAGCUAAGCAGAGUUGAGCCAGGUUAGUACUCAGAUGGGAGAUAUUUGCUUAAUUGCAGUAGUCU